GAGAGUUUGAUCCUGGCUCAGAACGAACGCUGGCGGCAGGCUUAACACAUGCAAGUCGAGCGGGCCCUUCGGGGUCAGCGGCAGACGGGUGAGUAACACGUGGGAACGUACCCAUCUCUGCGGAACAACUCCGGGAAACUGGAGCUAAUACCGCAUACGCCCUUAGGGGGAAAGAUUUAUCGGAGAUGGAUCGGCCCGCGUUGGAUUAGCUAGUUGGUGGGGUAAAGGCCUACCAAGGCGACGAUCCAUAGCUGGUCUGAGAGGAUGAUCAGCCACAUUGGGACUGAGACACGGCCCAAACUCCUACGGGAGGCAGCAGUGGGGAAUAUUGGACAAUGGGCGCAAGCCUGAUCCAGCCAUGCCGCGUGAGUGAUGAAGGCCUUAGGGUUGUAAAGCUCUUUCACCGGAGAAGAUAAUGACGGUAUCCGGAGAAGAAGCCCCGGCUAACUUCGUGCCAGCAGCCGCGGUAAUACGAAGGGGGCUAGCGUUGUUCGGAAUUACUGGGGCGUAAAGCGCACGUA
This 521-nucleotide ribosomal RNA is filed under the name Rhizobium esperanzae. RNAcentral's name for it is "bacterial SSU rRNA". It matches the Rfam family "Bacterial small subunit ribosomal RNA", at positions 7 to 573 of the family's 1533-position model. The record is from RNAcentral. Lineage: Bacteria; Pseudomonadati; Pseudomonadota; Alphaproteobacteria; Hyphomicrobiales; Rhizobiaceae.